GGUUUUGUUUGCGCAGGAUAGGUGGGAGGUGUUGAAAAUUUUCCUGCGGGAAGAUUGGAGCCGUUGGUGAGAUACCACUCUAACAAUGCUAGGAUUCUAACCCUACACCGUUAUCCGGUUAGGGGACAGUUUCAGGUGGUCAGUUUGACUGGGGCGGUCGCCUCCCAAAAGGUAACGGAGGCGUGCAAAGGUUUCCUCAGGCUGGUCGGAAAUCAGUCGUAGAGUGUAAAGGCAUAAGGAAGCUUGAUUGUGUGACCUACAAGUCGAACAAAGACGAAAGUCGGCCUUAGUGAUCCGACGGUUCCGAGUGGAAGGGCCGUCGCUCAACGGAUAAAAGUUACUCUAGGGAUAACAGGCUGAA
Molecule: ribosomal RNA, 361 nt
Filed under: uncultured eukaryote
Lineage: Eukaryota
Description: LSU rRNA
Rfam family: Bacterial large subunit ribosomal RNA
Source: RNAcentral